GAUGAACGCUGGCGGCGUGCCUAAUACAUGCAAGUCGAGCGAACAGACGAGGAGCUUGCUCCUCUGACGUUAGCGGCGGACGGGUGAGUAACACGUGGAUAACCUACCUAUAAGACUGGGAUAACUUCGGGAAACCGGAGCUAAUACCGGAUAAUAUAUUGAACCGCAUGGUUCAAUAGUGAAAGACGGUUUUGCUGUCACUUAUAGAUGGAUCCGCGCCGCAUUAGCUAGUUGGUAAGGUAACGGCUUACCAAGGCGACGAUGCGUAGCCGACCUGAGAGGGUGAUCGGCCACACUGGAACUGAGACACGGUCCAGACUCCUACGGGAGGCAGCAGUAGGGAAUCUUCCGCAAAGGGCGAAAGCCUGACGGAGCAACGCCGCGUGAGUGAUGAAGGUCUUCGGAUCGUAAAACUCUGUUAUUAGGGAAGAACAAAUGUGUAAGUAACUAUGCACGUCUUGACGGUACCUAAUCAGAAAGCCACAGCUAACUACGUG
This 497-nucleotide ribosomal RNA is filed under the name uncultured bacterium. Its description in RNAcentral is "partial 16S ribosomal RNA". It matches the Rfam family "Bacterial small subunit ribosomal RNA", at positions 28 to 507 of the family's 1533-position model. The record is from RNAcentral.